GUGUCAGCCGCCGCGGUAAGACAGAGGCCACAAGCGUUAGGCGGAAUCACUGGGCUUAAAGCGUGUGUAGGCGGAUCGUUAAGUGCCUUGUGAAAUCCCACGGCUCACCCGUGGAACGGCUGGGCAUACUGGCGAUCUUGAGCCAUCUAGGGGCGACUGGAACAAACGGUGGAGCGGUGAAAUGCGUAGAUAUCGUUUGGAACGCCAACGGUGAAAACAGGUCGCUGGGGAUGUGCUGACGCUGAGACACGAAAGCCAGGGGAGCAAACGGGAUUAGAAACCCUCGUAGUCC
This 292-nucleotide ribosomal RNA is filed under the name uncultured bacterium. RNAcentral describes it as "partial 16S ribosomal RNA". It matches the Rfam family "Bacterial small subunit ribosomal RNA", at positions 505 to 796 of the family's 1533-position model. The record is from RNAcentral.